This 1470-nucleotide ribosomal RNA is filed under the name uncultured Bordetella sp. RNAcentral's name for it is "partial 16S-23S ribosomal RNA intergenic spacer". It matches the Rfam family "Bacterial small subunit ribosomal RNA". Lineage: Bacteria; Pseudomonadati; Pseudomonadota; Betaproteobacteria; Burkholderiales; Alcaligenaceae. The record is from RNAcentral.
GGUUUGAUCAUGGCUCAGAUUGAACGCUGGCGGGAUGCUUUACACAUGCAAGUCGAACGGCAGCACGGACUUCGGUCUGGGUGGCGAGGGCGAACGGGUGAGUAAUGUAUCGGAACGUGCCUAGUAGCGUAUAAUUCACGCGAAAGCGUAGCUAAUACCGCAUAACGCCCUUCGGGGGAAAGCGGGGACCUUCGGGCCUCUUCGCACUAUUAGAGCGGCCGAUAUCGGAUUAGCUAGUUGGUGGGUAACGGCUCACCAAGGCGACGAUCCGUAGCUGGUUUGAGAGGACGACCAGCCACACUGGACUGAGACACGGCCCAGACUCCUACGGGAGGCAGCAGUGGGGAAUUUUGGACAAUGGGGAAACCGAUCCAGCCAUCCCGCGUGUGCGAUGGAAGGCCUUCGGGUUGUAAAGCACUUUUGGCAGAAAAGAAAUUGGCACGGAUAAUUCGUGCAACUGACGGUACCUGCAGAAUAAGCACCGCCAACUACGCCAGCAGCCGCGGUAAUACGUAGGUGCAAGCGUUAAUCGGAAUUACUGGGCGUAAAGCGUGCGCAGGCGGUUCGGAAAGAAAGAUGGAAAUCCUGCAUUUCUAACUUUCUUUGGGAACUGCAUUUUUAACUACCGAGCUAGACGUCAGGAGGAGGUGGAAUUCCGGCAGGUAGUGAAUGCGUAGAUAGAGGAACACCGAUGGCGAAGGCAGCCUCCUGGGAUAAAUACUGACGCUCAUGCACGAAAGCGUGAGCAAACAGGAUUAGAUACCCUGGUAGUCCACGCCCUAAACGAUGUCAACUAGCUGUUGGGGCCUUCGGGCCUUGAAGCGCAGCUACUGCGAAGUUGACCGCCUGGGGAGUACGGUCGCAAGAUUAAAAACUCAAAGGACUGACAUUUUGGGACCCGCACAAGCGGUGGAUGAUGUGGAUUACACCUGAUGCAACGCGAAAAACCUUACCUUACCCUGAUAUGUUCCGAAUCCUUGAAGAGAUUUGGGAGUGCUCGCAAGAGAACCGGAACACAGGUGCUGCAUGGCUGUCGUCAGCUCGUGUCGUGAGAUGUUGGGUUAAGUCCCGCAACGAUGGCAACCUCUUGUCAUUAGUUGCUACGAAAGGGCACCUAAUGAGACUGCCGGUGACAAACCGAGGAAGGUGGGGAUGACGUCAAGUCCUCAUGGCCCUUAUGGGUAGGGCUUCACACGUCAUACAAUGACGGGACAGAGGGUCGCCAACCCGCGAGGGGGAGCCAAUCCCAGAAACCCGAUCAGUCCGGAUCGCAGUCUGCAACUCGACUGCGUGAAGUCGGAAUCGCUAGUAAUCGCGGAUCAGCAUGUCGCGGUGAAUACGUUCCGGGUCUUGUACACACCGCCCGUCACACCAUGGGAGUGGUUUACCAGAAGUAGUUAGCCUAACCGUAAGGCGAGGGCGAUUACCACGGUAGGAUUCAUGACUGUGGGUGAAGUCGUAACAAGGUAA